RNAcentral lists this ribosomal RNA (497 nucleotides) under uncultured bacterium. RNAcentral describes it as "partial 16S ribosomal RNA". It matches the Rfam family "Bacterial small subunit ribosomal RNA", at positions 28 to 507 of the family's 1533-position model. The record is from RNAcentral.
GAUGAACGCUGGCGGCGUGCCUAAUACAUGCAAGUCGAGCGAACAGACGAGGAGCUUGCUCCUCUGACGUUAGCGGCGGACGGGUGAGUAACACGUGGAUAACCUACCUAUAAGACUGGGAUAACUUCGGGAAACCGGAGCUAAUACCGGAUAAUAUAUUUAACCGCAUGGUUCAAUAGUGAAAGACGGUUUUGCUGUCACUUAUAGAUGUAUCCGCGCCGCAUUAGCUAGUUGGUAAGGUAACGGCUUACCAAGGCAACGAUGCGUAGCCGACCUGAGAGGGUGAUCGGCCACACUGGAACUGAGACACGGUCCAGACUCCUACGGGAGGCAGCAGUAGGGAAUCUUCCGCAAUGGGCGAAAGCCUGACGGAGCAACGCCGCGUGAGUGAUGAAGGUCUUCGGAUCGUAAAACUCUGUUAUUAGGGAAGAACAAAUGUGUAAGUAAAUAUGCACGUCUUGACGGUACCUAAUCAGAAAGCCACGGCUAACUACGUG